Molecule: long non-coding RNA, 486 nt
Filed under: Pan troglodytes (chimpanzee)
Lineage: Eukaryota; Metazoa; Chordata; Mammalia; Primates; Hominidae
Description: lincRNA
Source: RNAcentral
UGAAUUCUCUCCCCCAGUGCCACAGACCUGAGGGCACAUGACCCAGGAAUGUGCAUCCAAAGAUAAUACUACCUUCAGAGAACUCUACUUAUAGUGGUGAAAUUGAAUCACUGAAGCAGCUGAGGCAGAGAGCUUUUCCUUCAGGAUUCAUGGCCUAUUUCUCAGUUCUGGGAAGACAACUCUAACAACUCAACAGACUGAAGAGAGAUAAAGAUGUUGGGAAUGACUGAUUUCAAACAAUCAAAACUGCUUUGGGGAUGAGGAUGAAGUUGGGACAUUACUGCCUUGUAUACCACAUACUAUAAUAUUUAUUAUGUCUAUUGUUUAUUGUGUGUGUCCUUCUUUAGAAUUUUAACUCCCCAAGGGCAAAGAUCCCUGACUGUUUUGUUUAUCAAUGUAUCCAAAAGGCCUAAAACAGAGGCCUUGUACCUUAUACACACUCUGCAAAUAUUUGCUGAAUUGAAUAAAAGGCUGCCGAUAUAUAAA